Molecule: ribosomal RNA, 2180 nt
Filed under: Salmonella enterica
Lineage: Bacteria; Pseudomonadati; Pseudomonadota; Gammaproteobacteria; Enterobacterales; Enterobacteriaceae
Description: partial 23S ribosomal RNA
Rfam family: Bacterial large subunit ribosomal RNA
Source: RNAcentral
AGACCCGAAACCCGGUGAUCUAGCCAUGGGCAGGUUGAAGGUUGGGUAACACUAACUGGAGGACCGAACCGACUAAUGUUGAAAAAUUAGCGGAUGACCUGUGGCUGGGGGUGAAAGGCCAAUCAAACCGGGAGAUAGCUGGUUCUCCCCGAAAGCUAUUUAGGUAGCGCCUCGUGAAUUCAUCUCCGGGGGUAGAGCACUGUUUCGGCUAGGGGGCCAUCCCGGCUUACCAACCCGAUGCAAACUGCGAAUACCGGAGAAUGUUAUCACGGGAGACACACGGCGGGUGCUAACGUCCGUCGUGAAGAGGGAAACAACCCAGACCGCCAGCUAAGGUCCCAAAGUCAUGGUUAAGUGGGAAACGAUGUGGGAAGGCCCAGACAGCCAGGAUGUUGGCUUAGAAGCAGCCAUCAUUUAAAGAAAGCGUAAUAGCUCACUGGUCGAGUCGGCCUGCGCGGAAGAUGUAACGGGGCUAAACCAUGCACCGAAGCUGCGGCAGCGACACUGUGUGUUGUUGGGUAGGGGAGCGUUCUGUAAGCCUGUGAAGGUGUGUCGUGAGGCAUGCUGGAGGUAUCAGAAGUGCGAAUGCUGACAUAAGUAACGAUAAAGCGGGUGAAAAGCCCGCUCGCCGGAAGACCAAGGGUUCCUGUCCAACGUUAAUCGGGGCAGGGUGAGUCGACCCCUAAGGCGAGGCCGAAAGGCGUAGUCGAUGGGAAACGGGUUAAUAUUCCCGUACUUGGUGUUACUGCGAAGGGGGGACGGAGAAGGCUAUGUUGGCCGGGCGACGGUUGUCCCGGUUUAAGCGUGUAGGUGUGUGUUCCAGGUAAAUCCGGUUCACUUUAACACUGAGGCGUGACGACGAGGCACUACGGUGCUGAAGCAACAAAUGCCCUGCUUCCAGGAAAAGCCUCUAAGCAUCAGGUAACAUCAAAUCGUACCCCAAACCGACACAGGUGGUCAGGUAGAGAAUACCAAGGCGCUUGAGAGAACUCGGGUGAAGGAACUAGGCAAAAUGGUGCCGUAACUUCGGGAGAAGGCACGCUGACACGUAGGUGAAGUGAUUUACUCAUGGAGCUGAAGUCAGUCGAAGAUACCAGCUGGCUGCAACUGUUUAUUAAAAACACAGCACUGUGCAAACACGAAAGUGGACGUAUACGGUGUGACGCCUGCCCGGUGCCGGAAGGUUAAUUGAUGGGGUCAGCGCAAGCGAAGCUCCUGAUCGAAGCCCCGGUAAACGGCGGCCGUAACUAUAACGGUCCUAAGGUAGCGAAAUUCCUUGUCGGGUAAGUUCCGACCUGCACGAAUGGCGUAAUGAUGGCCAGGCUGUCUCCACCCGAGACUCAGUGAAAUUGAACUCGCUGUGAAGAUGCAGUGUACCCGCGGCAAGACGGAAAGACCCCGUGAACCUUUACUAUAGCUUGACACUGAACAUUGAGCCUUGAUGUGUAGGAUAGGUGGGAGGCUUUGAAGUGUGGACGCCAGUCUGCAUGGAGCCGACCUUGAAAUACCACCCUUUAAUGUUUGAUGUUCUAACGUGGACCCGUUACCCGGGUUGCGGACAGUGUCUGGUGGGUAGUUUGACUGGGGCGGUCUCCUCCUAAAGAGUAACGGAGGAGCACGAAGGUUGGCUAAUCCUGGUCGGACAUCAGGAGGUUAGUGCAAUGGCAUAAGCCAGCUUGACUGCGAGCGUGACGGCGCGAGCAGGUGCGAAAGCAGGUCAUAGUGAUCCGGUGGUUCUGAAUGGAAGGGCCAUCGCUCAACGGAUAAAAGGUACUCCGGGGAUAACAGGCUGAUACCGCCCAAGAGUUCAUAUCGACGGCGGUGUUUGGCACCUCGAUGUCGGCUCAUCACAUCCUGGGGCUGAAGUAGGUCCCAAGGGUAUGGCUGUUCGCCAUUUAAAGUGGUACGCGAGCUGGGUUUAGAACGUCGUGAGACAGUUCGGUCCCUAUCUGCCGUGGGCGCUGGAGAACUGAGGGGGGCUGCUCCUAGUACGAGAGGACCGGAGUGGACGCAUCACUGGUGUUCGGGUUGUCAUGCCAAUGGCACUGCCCGGUAGCUAAAUGCGGAAGAGAUAAGUGCUGAAAGCAUCUAAGCACGAAACUUGCCCCGAGAUGAGUUCUCCCUGAGACUUAAAGUCUCCUGAAGGAACGUUGAAGACGACGACGUUGAUAGGCCGGGUG